GGUGAGGUGCCUGAGUGGCCGAAAGGAACGGUUUGCUAAACCGUCGUACGGGUAACACUGUACCGAGGGUUCGAAUCCCUCCCUCACCGCCC
Molecule: transfer RNA, 92 nt
Filed under: Chitinophaga sp. MD30
Lineage: Bacteria; Pseudomonadati; Bacteroidota; Chitinophagia; Chitinophagales; Chitinophagaceae
Description: tRNA-Ser
Rfam family: tRNA
About the family: Transfer RNA (tRNA) molecules are approximately 80 nucleotides in length. Their secondary structure includes four short double-helical elements and three loops (D, anti-codon, and T loops). Further hydrogen bonds mediate the characteristic L-shaped molecular structure. tRNAs have two regions of fundamental functional importance: the anti-codon, which is responsible for specific mRNA codon recognition, and the 3' end, to which the tRNAs corresponding amino acid is attached (by aminoacyl-tRNA synthetases). tRNAs cope with the degeneracy of the genetic code in two manners: having more than one tRNA (with a specific anti-codon) for a particular amino acid; and 'wobble' base-pairing, i.e. permitting non-standard base-pairing at the 3rd anti-codon position.
Source: RNAcentral